AUGUUUGAAAUUUGGAGAAAAAAUGUUUUUUUAAGCAAUAUGUAUGAAGUCACCUAUAGUGUAUGCAGUACAACCAAAAACGGAUGCCAUCCAUUUAUAUGGUUGCAGUCAUCAUCAGCGACUGAACGUUUCACGCGGCGUCUGAAAACCACCUGUUGCAUUGUCAGUUUUUACGAAUACAAGUUAAAUGACACAAUUAUGGAUGUAGUAUUUAUAGACGAACGGGAGGAUGUGCAGAAGAAGACGUUCACAAAGUGGAUUAAUUCACAACUCGUCAAGGUAGAUAAGCUCUUAAAUGUUUAAUAUCCUUCUAAAGAUGCUGCCAUGUUUUUUUUUGUGAAAUGCUCUCUCUCGAUGCCAUUGAAAAUUUCUUU
This 374-nucleotide long non-coding RNA is filed under the name Bemisia tabaci. RNAcentral's name for it is "lncRNA ENSSSA2NGG000216". The record is from RNAcentral. Lineage: Eukaryota; Metazoa; Arthropoda; Insecta; Hemiptera; Aleyrodidae.